CCUGGAGAGCUCUGCACAAGAAUUCCAGCGUGCAUGGACUGCUGGUCCUGUACGCAAAUGGUAAAUAAAAUCUUGAAUGCUAAGCCAAACACCAACAAGAUUGUUUUUCUCACUCCCCCCAAUUUCUCUGCACUGUUUUAUAUAUCAUGUUUGAGUUUGUGUGGUAUUUUAUCUAUCAAAUUCCUGAGGCAUACUGAUGGGUGAAGUGAAACACACACACAGUGUUUGGAGCUGGAAUAGCACAAGUUGAGACAGGAUCACACUGAAAACCCUUUGGGUGUGGAGUGAAUGUGCAUUUAUGCACUCUUUGAAGAAACUGCAAGUUACAGCCACUGCAGCAGAUUUACAUCACGUGGUUUCACAGGACGUAGUCUGGACCUCAGCGCUGAGGUGAAGGAGAAGUUCAACCAGCUCUGCUUGCAGACCGGCAUCCUUCCUGAAAAUAUUGUUCAUCUUCCUAAAACCGAGGAGUGUCCGCUUGAGUGUUUUGUCUGAUCUGUUGUUGAUCGUCUCACCGACACUGCAUAAAGAUCUGACACCAUCUGUUAUGGAAAUGUGACUGAGCAACAUCUGUAGCAGUUUUUACCAAUAAAAAUGCAAAAAUCUAGAAUGUUUUUCUUCAUUAUUCAUCCUUUAUAUGAAAUAAACUGAAGAACAUCCAUAACAACAC
Long non-coding RNA from Haplochromis burtoni (Burton's mouthbrooder), 670 nucleotides. RefSeq lists it as uncharacterized. Lineage: Eukaryota; Metazoa; Chordata; Actinopteri; Cichliformes; Cichlidae. The transcript is spliced from 2 exons. The record is from RefSeq and is a predicted model, not a curated record.